RNAcentral lists this ribosomal RNA (726 nucleotides) under uncultured bacterium. RNAcentral describes it as "bacterial SSU rRNA". It matches the Rfam family "Bacterial small subunit ribosomal RNA", at positions 104 to 828 of the family's 1533-position model. The record is from RNAcentral.
GGGUGAGUAACACGUAUGCAACCUGCCCCUGUCAGGGGGACAACCCGCCGAAAGGCGGGCUAAACCCGCGUACAUGCCACCGGGGCAUCCCGGAGGCAGGAAAGGCUUCGGCCGGACAGGGAUGGGCAUGCGGCGCAUUAGGCAGUAGGCGGGGUAACGGCCCACCUAACCGACGAUGCGUAGGGGUUCUGAGAGGAAGGUCCCCCACACUGGUACUGAGACACGGACCAGACUCCUACGGGAGGCAGCAGUGAGGAAUAUUGGUCAAUGGUCGGGAGACUGAACCAGCCAAGCCGCGUGAGGGAUGAAGGUACAGAGUAUCGUAAACCCCUUUUGUCAGGGAACAAAGGCGGGGACGUGUCCCCGGAUGAGUGUACCUGAAGAAAAAGCAUCGGCUAACUCCGUGCCAGCAGCCGCGGUAAUACGGAGGAUGCGAGCGUUAUCCGGAUUUAUUGGGUUUAAAGGGUGCGCAGGCGGUCUGUUAAGUCAGCGGUCAAAGCCCGGGGCUCAACCCCGGCCCGCCGUUGAAACUGGCAGUCUCGAGUUGGAGAGAAGUAUGCGGAAUGCGCGGUGUAGCGGUGAAAUGCAUAGAUAUCGCGCAGAACUCCGAUUGCGAAGGCAGCAUGCCGGCUCCACACUGACGCUGAGGCACGAAAGCGUGGGUAUCGAACAGGAUUAGAUACCCUGGUAGUCCACGCAGUAAACGAUGAAUGCAGGCUGUCCGGG